RNAcentral lists this ribosomal RNA (630 nucleotides) under Triticum aestivum (bread wheat). Its description in RNAcentral is "partial small subunit ribosomal RNA". The record is from RNAcentral. Lineage: Eukaryota; Viridiplantae; Streptophyta; Magnoliopsida; Poales; Poaceae.
AUGAGAUUGUUUGCUGCUUUCCACGCAGGAGAGCUGGACGUUUGUAGACUGAAUUAUGGCAUUAUUACUUUGUUGCCUAAAAUCAAUGGGGCCAAUAAGAUCCAGCAGUUUAGGCCGAUUUGCUUGCUGAGAUGUCCCUACAAGUUAAUAACUAAUGUGCUUGAUAACAGGGUGGCCCCUUUUGCUGAUAAAUUGUUUAGUAAGCAUCAAAAUUCCUUUAUCAAGCAUAGAAACAUCAUGGAUGGGGUAUUGUCGUUGCACAAAAUUCUGCAUCAUACUUACAACAAGAAGAAGGUGGGUAUUGUCAUCAAGCUUGAUUUCGAGAAAGCUUAUGACAAAGUGAACUGGGAAUUUCUUUUGGAAUGUCUUGAGAUGAGAGGGUCUGGUCCCACAUGGUGUGGGUGGAUUAAAAGUGUCCUGGUUGAUGGCACAGUCAGUGUGAAGCUGAACAAUGUGAUGGGGCCAUAUUUCAAGAGCUUUAAAGGGGUUAGACAGGGGGAUCCUGUGUCGCCCUUCCUUUUUAACAUUGCUGCUGAAUGCUUGUGUAAAAUGGUGCUGCAGGCGCAGAGAAAUAAUCUAGUUGUGGGACUUGCUCCGGAUCUUGUUGAAAAUGGAGUGGCAAUACUGUAA